GGGUCGUUAGUUCAUUGGUAGAACGCUUCACUGAUAAUGAAGAGGUGGAUAGUCCGAUUCUAUCACGACCCA
Molecule: transfer RNA, 72 nt
Filed under: Candidatus Levyibacteriota bacterium
Lineage: Bacteria; Candidatus Levyibacteriota
Description: tRNA-Ile
Rfam family: tRNA
About the family: Transfer RNA (tRNA) molecules are approximately 80 nucleotides in length.
Source: RNAcentral